This 2927-nucleotide ribosomal RNA is filed under the name Bacillus cereus. RNAcentral's name for it is "bacterial LSU rRNA". It matches the Rfam family "Bacterial large subunit ribosomal RNA". Lineage: Bacteria; Bacillati; Bacillota; Bacilli; Caryophanales; Bacillaceae. The record is from RNAcentral.
UUUGGUUAAGUUAGAAAGGGCGCACGGUGGAUGCCUUGACACUAGGAGUCGAUGAAGGACGGGACUAACGCCGAUAUGCUUCGGGGAGCUGUAAGUAAGCUUUGAUCCGAAGAUUUCCGAAUGGGGAAACCCACCAUACGUAAUGGUAUGGUAUCCUUAUCUGAAUACAUAGGGUAAGGAAGACAGACCCAGGGAACUGAAACAUCUAAGUACCUGGAGGAAGAGAAAGCAAAUGCGAUUUCCUGAGUAGCGGCGAGCGAAACGGAACAUAGCCCAAACCAAGAGGCUUGCCUCUUGGGGUUGUAGGACAUUCUAUACGGAGUUACAAAGGAACGAGGUAGACGAAGCGACCUGGAAAGGUCCGUCGUAGAGGGUAACAACCCCGUAGUCGAAACUUCGUUCUCUCUUGAAUGUAUCCUGAGUACGGCGGAACACGUGAAAUUCCGUCGGAAUCUGGGAGGACCAUCUCCCAAGGCUAAAUACUCCCUAGUGAUCGAUAGUGAACCAGUACCGUGAGGGAAAGGUGAAAAGCACCCCGGAAGGGGAGUGAAAGAGAUCCUGAAACCGUGUGCCUACAAAUAGUCAGAGCCCGUUAACGGGUGAUGGCGUGCCUUUUGUAGAAUGAACCGGCGAGUUACGAUCCCGUGCGAGGUUAAGCUGAAGAGGCGGAGCCGCAGCGAAAGCGAGUCUGAAUAGGGCGUUUAGUACGUGGUCGUAGACCCGAAACCAGGUGAUCUACCCAUGUCCAGGGUGAAGUUCAGGUAACACUGAAUGGAGGCCCGAACCCACGCACGUUGAAAAGUGCGGGGAUGAGGUGUGGGUAGCGGAGAAAUUCCAAUCGAACCUGGAGAUAGCUGGUUCUCCCCGAAAUAGCUUUAGGGCUAGCCUUAAGUGUAAGAGUCUUGGAGGUAGAGCACUGAUUGGACUAGGGGUCCUCAUCGGAUUACCGAAUUCAGUCAAACUCCGAAUGCCAAUGACUUAUCCUUAGGAGUCAGACUGCGAGUGAUAAGAUCCGUAGUCAAAAGGGAAACAGCCCAGACCGCCAGCUAAGGUCCCAAAGUGUGUAUUAAGUGGAAAAGGAUGUGGAGUUGCUUAGACAACUAGGAUGUUGGCUUAGAAGCAGCCACCAUUUAAAGAGUGCGUAAUAGCUCACUAGUCGAGUGACUCUGCGCCGAAAAUGUACCGGGGCUAAAUACACCACCGAAGCUGCGGAUUGAUACCAAUGGUAUCAGUGGUAGGGGAGCGUUCUAAGGACAGUGAAGUCAGACCGUAAGGACUGGUGGAGUGCUUAGAAGUGAGAAUGCCGGUAUGAGUAGCGAAAGACGGGUGAGAAUCCCGUCCACCGAAUGCCUAAGGUUUCCUGAGGAAGGCUCGUCCGCUCAGGGUUAGUCAGGACCUAAGCCGAGGCCGACAGGCGUAGGCGAUGGACAACAGGUUGAUAUUCCUGUACCACCUCUUUAUCGUUUGAGCAAUGGAGGGACGCAGAAGGAUAGAAGAAGCGUGCGAUUGGUUGUGCACGUCCAAGCAGUUAGGCUGAUAAGUAGGCAAAUCCGCUUAUCAUAAAGGCUGAGCUGUGAUGGGGAAGCUCCUUAUGGAGCGAAGUCUUUGAUUCCCCGCUGCCAAGAAAAGCUUCUAGCGAGAUAAAAGGUGCCUGUACCGCAAACCGACACAGGUAGGCGAGGAGAGAAUCCUAAGGUGUGCGAGAGAACUCUGGUUAAGGAACUCGGCAAAAUGACCCCGUAACUUCGGGAGAAGGGGUGCUUUCUUAACGGAAAGCCGCAGUGAAUAGGCCCAAGCGACUGUUUAGCAAAAACACAGCUCUCUGCGAAGCCGUAAGGCGAAGUAUAGGGGGUGACACCUGCCCGGUGCUGGAAGGUUAAGGAGAGGGGUUAGCGUAAGCGAAGCUCUGAACUGAAGCCCCAGUAAACGGCGGCCGUAACUAUAACGGUCCUAAGGUAGCGAAAUUCCUUGUCGGGUAAGUUCCGACCCGCACGAAAGGUGUAACGAUUUGGGCACUGUCUCAACCAGAGACUCGGUGAAAUUAUAGUACCUGUGAAGAUGCAGGUUACCCGCGACAGGACGGAAAGACCCCGUGGAGCUUUACUGUAGCCUGAUAUUGAAUUUUGGUACAGUUUGUACAGGAUAGGCGGGAGCCAUUGAAACCGGAGCGCUAGCUUCGGUGGAGGCGCUGGUGGGAUACCGCCCUGACUGUAUUGAAAUUCUAACCUACGGGUCUUAUCGACCCGGGAGACAGUGUCAGGUGGGCAGUUUGACUGGGGCGGUCGCCUCCUAAAGUGUAACGGAGGCGCCCAAAGGUUCCCUCAGAAUGGUUGGAAAUCAUUCGUAGAGUGCAAAGGCAUAAGGGAGCUUGACUGCGAGACCUACAAGUCGAGCAGGGACGAAAGUCGGGCUUAGUGAUCCGGUGGUUCCGCAUGGAAGGGCCAUCGCUCAACGGAUAAAAGCUACCCCGGGGAUAACAGGCUUAUCUCCCCCAAGAGUCCACAUCGACGGGGAGGUUUGGCACCUCGAUGUCGGCUCAUCGCAUCCUGGGGCUGUAGUCGGUCCCAAGGGUUGGGCUGUUCGCCCAUUAAAGCGGUACGCGAGCUGGGUUCAGAACGUCGUGAGACAGUUCGGUCCCUAUCCGUCGUGGGCGUAGGAAAUUUGAGAGGAGCUGUCCUUAGUACGAGAGGACCGGGAUGGACGCACCGCUGGUGUACCAGUUGUUCUGCCAAGGGCAUAGCUGGGUAGCUAUGUGCGGAAGGGAUAAGUGCUGAAAGCAUCUAAGCAUGAAGCCCCCCUCAAGAUGAGAUUUCCCAUAGCGUAAGCUAGUAAGAUCCCUGAAAGAUGAUCAGGUUGAUAGGUUCGAGGUGGAAGCAUGGUGACAUGUGGAGCUGACGAAUACUAAUAGAUCGAGGACUUAACCAUAU